GCGGCGAACGGGUGAGUAACACGCUAAAGAACCUGCCUCAUAGACUGGGACAACUAUUGGAAACGAUAGCUAAUACCGGAUAACAGUAUUUCUCGCAUGAGAGAUAUUUAAAAGUUGGUUAUGCUAACACUAUGAGAUGGCUUUGCGGUGCAUUAGCUAGUUGGUGGGGUAAAGGCCUACCAAGGCGACGAUGCAUAGCCGACCUGAGAGGGUGAUCGGCCACACUGGGACUGAGACACGGCCCAGACUCCUACGGGAGGCAGCAGUAGGGAAUCUUCCGCAAUGGGCGAAAGCCUGACGGAGCAACGCCGCGUGAGUGAAGAAGGAUUUCGGUUCGUAAAGCUCUGUUGUUAGGGAAGAAUGGAUAUGUAGUAACUAUACAUGUAAGAGACGGUACCUAACCAGAAAGCCACGGCUAACUACGUGCC
RNAcentral lists this ribosomal RNA (428 nucleotides) under uncultured bacterium. RNAcentral describes it as "bacterial SSU rRNA". It matches the Rfam family "Bacterial small subunit ribosomal RNA", at positions 95 to 509 of the family's 1533-position model. The record is from RNAcentral.